RNAcentral lists this ribosomal RNA (253 nucleotides) under uncultured bacterium. RNAcentral's name for it is "partial 16S ribosomal RNA". It matches the Rfam family "Bacterial small subunit ribosomal RNA", at positions 524 to 776 of the family's 1533-position model. The record is from RNAcentral.
UACGUAGGGUGCGAGCGUUAAUCGGAAUUACUGGGCGUAAAGCGUGCGCAGGCGGUUGUGCAAGACAGAGGUGAAAUCCCCGAGCUUAACCUGGGAACUGCCUUUGUGACUGCACGGCUAGAGUGUGUCAGAGGGGGGUAGAAUUCCACGUGUAGCAGUGAAAUGCGUAGAGAUGUGGAGGAAUACCGAUGGCGAAGGCAGCCCCCUGGGAUAACACUGACGCUCAUGCACGAAAGCGUGGGGAGCAAACAGG